GCGUUUUUAAUUACCCGCACGGCUGCUCCCUCCCAUUAGCGUGGGAAAUGAAGGGUUGAGCGUUUAGCACUUACAGUGAUAAUCCCAGCGCAAAACUUUCAGAACAACCCAUUGAUCCCCACGUCCGAUGGAUAUGAGCCUGCUUCAGGUGGCUUGAGCUAGCUCCGUGGCGUCUUCACUGUUUGGAAUGGAGGAAGCUCAAACCCAGCAAGCAUCCCAAGCCAAGCAAGCUGCACAGGGCCGGCAUCUGGGAUGUGAAAAUCUAACUGGCCAGACUUGGAGGGCAUGCAAGGACAACGGCCGUCUCAAGGACACACACACUGGAUGGGCAGGUGCCUUGUGCAGUCAGGACAAGUGUUCCGGAGCCUGGCAGCUGGGGCCUGUCUGGGAGGUCGCAUGACCUCUGCUUUCCUCGUUAGCUUCAGGUUUGACAGAGGCCAGAGCCCCACUUUCAUCUGGGGCUGCCAUCAGGGGUGAGUCACCCCUUGAGAGGCAGUCUGUACACUCAGCUGCCAACCAACUACAUGAGGACAGAGCUACCCACUGCACCAUGUACUCACUG
RNAcentral lists this long non-coding RNA (562 nucleotides) under Mus caroli (Ryukyu mouse). Its description in RNAcentral is "predicted gene 1667 (MGP_CAROLIEiJ_G0005952.1)". The record is from RNAcentral. Lineage: Eukaryota; Metazoa; Chordata; Mammalia; Rodentia; Muridae.